AACGCUGAAUUGUUCACAAUCGCCAAAAAAGCAACAGGUAUAAAGUCAUUUAUAUAUAAGAUAUGAUUAUGUUUAAGAAUUAAAGACAAUAAAGGUUUGGAGCUCAAAAUCAAAUGUUAAGGUGCAAAGGACAAAGUAAUUAAUAACCAUCAUAAGGAAACAGCUUGAUUCUAAGCAAGAAGUAGAAGAAUCCAUGAUAAGUUAAUGGAGAAGAUUAAGAUAAUAAGGGAAGGAAUGACAUUUUACUUCAAAGAAGACAUUGACAUUUAUAGACCAUCCCGCCAAGAACAAAGUGGCAUAAUGGCCAUUAUCAGCACUUCACCUAUCUGAGUCUCGUGUUUAGGGGGCUGUGGACUGGGCAACGAUCCAAGGAGUAUUUUUAUCAAGCCAAAUAGCAGGUGAUCCAUUAAAUACAAGCCCAAAGGAUUCGAAAAAGGAAUAGGCAGGAAAAAGGCAGUCAUGAACUCCAUGUUCACAACAUGGCCAACAAAGCUUAACUCCACCAUCUCCAUGAUCACAUGCUCAGCCAAGAAUAACCGCCCUUCUCUCCAUUAUCCCAUGACUGGUAGUGUGAUGUGAAAAAUAUCUUGGAAGGGAAGUAUAUUUUUUCUGGUCAAGCUUGUAUACAAUAUCAUUCCAAGAGAAUAUAACCCCAUGAAUGUUCACCAUAAUAAAACACCAACGUAAGAAUGUGAAUUCUUCGGUACACAUCUAAUUUAAUGUGUACCGGUACACUUGCGUUGAUAAUUGUGAUAAGUUUACAAAUCGUGUUUAUUAAUUUUUCUAUAUUAAAUACUUACUGUGAACCUAUUAGAAUUGUACACCUCAGCAGUGUACCGAUAUAUGUCCAAAUAAGACGUGUACCGGAGUAUUGAUCAGGGGAGAUGGAUUGUCUCCGGUGAGAAAAAAACUGGAGGGUGUCCAGUGGAUACAUCCACCUUUCAUUUUUCUUAUUUAAAUUAAAAUUAAAAUUAUUAAAAUAAAGCAAUGGUCAAGAUUUCACUGUAAGAAAAUGCGACAUGAGACAACCUUCUCCUCCCAUUGAUCAGGUAAGAAUUGACAAAGGUUAGAAUGUAGGUCCAUUUACAUACAAUUUAGAUUCAUAAAAAAAAACGUAAAAAAAUAAUAUUUUUUUAAAGAAUAGUACAAAAAAUUGGCGAACAUAAAAAUCUGACCCAACAACCUCAUUUCUAAAGCAGUCUUUCAAGGAUUUUUCCUCCACUCUCAUUCCCUCAAUUUUAUGGUGUACUAUAAGUGGUUAAAAAUAUAACAAAAUUAUAAUGCUUGGUUUGGAAAAACAAAUAUAAACAUUCUAUACAAAAAAAAUAAAAAAUAAAAAAUAAAAAACAUAAACAAAUAACUUAAAUAAGAACAACAACCCUCUAAAUUCAUCUUUAUGUUUCAAAAAUUUUUACAAUGCAAAUUUUUUUUACAAAUAUGUACCUCUUUCGGGAUCAUUUGUUGAAUUUUUGGAUUAGCUUUGUAUUUUUCUUUGAAUUCUCGUACAAUUUUCUGUGUCAUGUAAUAAGAACUUAGAUUUAUAGAAUUAUCAUUGUACAAUUCUAUAAAUCUAUGUUCUUAUUACAUGACACAGAAAAUUGUACGAUAAUAAUUCAAAGAAAAAUAUAAAACUAAUCCAAAAAUUCAACAACCGAUCCCAAAAAAGGUACAUAUUUGUAAGAAAAUUUUGCACUGUAAAAAAAAAAAAGUUGAAGCAUAAAGAUGAAUUUAGAGGGCUAUUGUUUUUUAUUUAAGUCUCUUUGUUUAUGUUUUUUUUUUAAAAAAAAAAAUUAUAGAAUGUUCAUAUUGGUUUUUCCAAACCGCAUUAUAAUUUUGUUAUAUUUUUAACCACUUAGUACACCAUAAAACCAAUCAAUUUAAACAAAAAAUUAGAUUGAAUUAACUCAUCAAAUUCAAAACAUUAAAAAAAAAAAUAAUAAUAAUAAUAAUAUUAACUCAACAAAAUGAAAUCAAAAAAUUCAAAAUAAAAUAUAAUAAAAUUGGAGGAGGUGUAUGUUGAUCGUCUUACCGGUAUCUAAUCAAAGAAAUCACCGUUGAAUAUUUAAGUUGAACAUUUCCAAAACAAAUGAUACAUUAAAGCACAAUAGAUAAGACGAUCAAAUAUGAGACAACAUUAAUAUUUGUCAUUUGAUCAUUAUGUAUGGAAUGACGACCCAUGAACUCUAUUUUCAUAGCUUGUCUCGUGGAUCUGGUGGAUACAAAACAACACAAGAUUAAAUAGGAGAAAAUAUGUCAGUNNNNNNNNNNNNNNNNNNNNNNNNNNNNNNNNNNNAUAUAAAUAAUAGUUACUUGAGUAGAAUGAAAUUUCAAUAGAUGUUAGAAAUUUAAUAGUUUAUAUAUGAAUCAUUGAUAAAGAGAUAGAUAAUAGUGAAAGAUCUAUUUACUGCUAUAGGCGAUUGCAAGAUAUAUAACAUCAAAAGAGAAGGAAAAAUGAAGAUUGCAAAUUUGGUGAAGCGCCGUCGGUAUGUUUUCCA
This 2495-nucleotide long non-coding RNA is filed under the name Trifolium pratense (red clover). RNAcentral describes it as "long non-coding RNA (TPRA_LNC008421)". The record is from RNAcentral. Lineage: Eukaryota; Viridiplantae; Streptophyta; Magnoliopsida; Fabales; Fabaceae.